GGUACUGCAGAGUGCGCUGAUUGCUUUGUUUGUUGGUUGUUGUAUGGAAACUCUGCCCGCAGAGACUCUCCGAUAAGGCUCAUCCGCAGUGCUGAUGACGACAGUGGUGGUAAUGAUGAUAUAAUCCCCUGGAAUACUGGAUCCUAUGAACAUGAAAGCAGCAGGGCAAACCUCAUCUGAAUAAUAUAAUCCUAAAGUAGAUGCCACUCCUUACUUCUUACUUAAUUACAUCAACAAGAUAAAUCUAACUGCCUUGCUGCAAAAAAGGAUGAAAGGGGCUCCACUGUGAACUGAAGUUUGAGUUGAGAUGCCUUAUACUGGCUGAUGUUCUGAAAUUAGCAUGAAACAGCACCAGAGGAAACAGAGGGAUUCUUCAGUGUUGUACAAAGGACCCUGUGAACUUUCCAAAUGCCUGAGAUCUCAUUACUGACAACAUUUUUUUGCCCUCCAAGUUUUCACGUGGUGACCUUAUGGCUUCCAUAGGAGCGCAGAUGCAGAUUUCCUCUCCAGUGAAAUGGCACGAACAGAGUGAAAAACACAGUCUUUAAGAAGACAAGCUGUGCGCCACCGACAUAAUUAGGAAAGCUGCUUGGGAGGCAAGCAGUGGACAUCUAAUGAGCUAGAGAGGAUAAGGUGGGAAAUGAGAGUGUGGCUAUGUAGUGGAGGCACUGUUUGAGUUUUCCUUUAGGUGGGCUGAAAAACAAAAUAUUAAGCCUGCGGAAGCCCUUCCAGAGUUUGGGGAUUCAAAGCUCUAAGGAUACUCAUGCCACUGUAUAAAGAGAAGAGAGAGAGACAAGAGAGUGUUCUGCCUUUAGUGACUGUGGCUGAUGACUACUCUUUGACCCAAAUCCACUUUGAAAGGCAACAUCAAUGCCAGCAGGAAAAAGUCACAGAAAAUGUUUUUAAUGAUUUCAAUCUAGAAACAGGAUUUUAAGUAGGCCAUGUGACAUAUUCUGACAAAAGUGCAAGGAAGAUUUUAAGUACAAGUAAUCUGACUUUAAGGGUAACCACUACAAAACAAAGGACUCUUUGUCAUUGUAUUUUAGAGCCCCUUAAAAAAUGCAUGAACCCUGAGUAGCUGUGUGACUUUAGACAAGUUGCCAAACUUCUCUGACCCUCCAGUAUCCUUUUUUUUGACCCUCCAGUUUCUGAUCUACAUAAAGACAAAAAUAGUAGUCUUUAUUUCAAAGAUAAAUUCUGUGAGAAUUAACUAAAAUAGUCCAUAAAAACACUGAAGAGCACCAUCCCAUAAAAAUGAGUGUUAGCUAUUUUUGUCAUUGUUAUCAGAAAUGAUGAGGAUCUUAACACAGUGGGAGCAGCAAUAGAGGGAAACAUGAUGACAUUUGAGAAAUAUCUAGAUAGUAAAAUCAGGAAAUCUGGAGAUUCAUUGACUAUGUGUGUAACAGAAAGAAGUUAUCUAGGAUAAUUCCCAGAAUUUAAUAUGGACAGUUGUGUGGAUGAAAGGUAAUCAUUUGAAAUUGAGAGGACCAAAGAGGAUGAAUGUUGAAUGGAGAGGAUGAUGAAGAAGACUAGUUAGGGAAUCAUGAAGUUCUCAUUGAUUAUUCCAGGACAGGACAACAAAGUGUUUGGUCUUAGAAGACAAAGAACUCUUAAAGGAGACUAAAAUAAAUUGGUACCAGAAGCAUGUGGAAAAUCCAGUGUGUUUAGUGAAAUGGAAACAAAGGAUUAGAAAGGGUCAAAGAGACAAUGAUUUAACCAAAGAAAGGAAGAAAAAUAGUGCAGAGAGAGAACAGUACACAUAGAAGCCUAGAGGGCAGAAAAGGGUUUAGUGACUAAAAACAGGGCAAGACAGAGGAAAUAAUAUAAAAUAGGACUAAAAAUGAAGUCAAGAAGCCGGUAAUAUUUUGGAUUUUACUUGAAGGCAAUAGGAGACCAUUGAAUAACCUCAUGCAGGGGCAUGCUCUAAUCAAAUUUUAUCAUUAGGAAGACAAAAAGGAAAAAAAGUUAUGGAUAAUAGGUCAGAGAGGAACAAGCCUGGAGUCAGAAUGACCAUUUGGGAAGCAAUUACAAGAAUGGAGUGGGGAGCAGGGGGAUGUAGAUAGGAUGAGGUUGUGAUUCUAGGGUAGUUAAGGGAAUAGACUCAAGACAUUUGGAAAGUUAAUAAUACAAAGAAGGUAAGGAUGAAAACCUGAUUUAAGACCAUACAUCUAGGUAGAUAAUAAUGAGCAGAGGGAAAGAAAUAGAUUUGUUGGGAAGAUAAAUAGCCCCAUUUUAGGUUUACUAUGAUUUUUCAUUUUCUUUAGACAUUGGAUAGGAGAUGUUGGGAGAUGCCUUCACAGAUAUUUGUCUCAGGAGAGAAAACUAUAUUGGAAAUACAGAUCUGAGAGCCAUUAGCCCAUGAAUUAUACUUGGUUUGCAGAAGAAAGUGAAAGGGCAAAAAAGAAAGUAGCCCAGGAAAGAACUUGAAGAGCAAGCAUUAAUAUAAGAGGACAAGAGGAGGCUCCUGAAAGUAGACUAUGAAAGAAUGACCAUCAAUACAGGAGCAACUCGAAUAGAUCAUUUCACCAUAACAUUGAAAAAGGAACAUCUCUGGAAGAAAGUGACUGGGUUAUUAGUAGGAGAAAAUAAUUCAAAAAAGUCAAGCAAGAUGAGUACUCAGGACUAUCUAUGGAACCUAAACACAAAAUCAUCAGAACCCUUGGGAAGAGAGAACUAAUGAAGGUGAGGAAGGAUUGUAACUUGGCCUGUGGUAAUAUUACAUCUUCCAUUCAAAAUCUGGGUGAUGAGGCUGGCAACAAUUUUAGAUAGUGACCUCUCUUCAAUAAGACCCCCUAACCGGGAACCCUGGGUGGCGCAGCGGUUUAGCGCCUGCCUUUGGCCCAGGGCGCGAUCCUGGAGACCCGGGAUCGAAUCCCACGUCGGGCUCCUGGUGCAUGGAGCCUGCUUCUCCCUCUGCCUAUGUCUCUGCCUCUCUCUCUCUCUCUCACUGUGUGACUAUCAUAAAUAAAUAAAAAAAGAUUUUAAAAAAGACCUCUUAACCUAGAAUGGGUCUUAAAAGAUGAGGAAGUCAGGGCAAUUUACACGUUCAAUGCAAUCCCUAUCAAAAUACCAUGGACUUUCUUCAGAGACUUAGAACAAAUUAUUUUAAGAUUUGUGUGGAAUCAGAAAAGACCCCGAAUAGCCAGGGGAAUUUUAAAAAAGAAAACCAUAUCUGGGGGCAUCACAAUGCCAGAUUUCAGGUUGUACUACAAAGCUGUGGUCACCAAGACAGUGUGGUACUGGCACAAAAACAGACACAUAGAUC
This is a long non-coding RNA of Nyctereutes procyonoides (raccoon dog), 3265 nucleotides long. RefSeq lists it as uncharacterized. Lineage: Eukaryota; Metazoa; Chordata; Mammalia; Carnivora; Canidae. The record is from RefSeq and is a predicted model, not a curated record. The transcript has 3 exons.